CCCUUAGAUGUUCUGGGCCGCACGCGUGCUACACUGAGUGGAUCAGCGGGUCAGGUUGCGCGAAAGCGUUUCCUAAUCUUUAAAUCCGCUCGUGAUGGGGAUUGACGGUUGCAAUUUUCUGUCAUGAACCAGGAAUACCUUGUAAGCGCGGGUCAUCAUCCCGCGCUGAAUACGUCCCUGCCCUUUGUACACACCGCCCGUCGCUCCUACCGAUUGAGUGGUCCGGUGAGGCUUUGGGAUCUGAGCGGAAAGAGCGUUUCGCUGUUUCUGCUCGGAAAACUCAGUCGAACCUUAUCAUUUAGAGGAAGGAGAAGUCGUAACA
This 322-nucleotide ribosomal RNA is filed under the name uncultured eukaryote. Its description in RNAcentral is "partial 18S ribosomal RNA". It matches the Rfam family "Eukaryotic small subunit ribosomal RNA", at positions 1470 to 1796 of the family's 1831-position model. The record is from RNAcentral.